CCACCCUCCUCCAUCUGAUGUCUCCUCAAGUUAGGAUUGGAAUCAAAAUGGUUACCAAGAGGCCUUUUGCUCCAAUAUGGUGAAAGUUCAAGAGCUCCAAUACAUCAAGAAGAUCCGACUCUACAGCUUCAUGAUCAAAAUAUCGAGACAAGAGUCCAAGAUCCCAAAAAAACUAAUAAAAAUAAGGAAGAGGAUCAUAUUUCCACUGGCUUGC
Molecule: long non-coding RNA, 214 nt
Filed under: Elaeis guineensis (African oil palm)
Lineage: Eukaryota; Viridiplantae; Streptophyta; Magnoliopsida; Arecales; Arecaceae
Description: long non-coding RNA (EGUI_LNC014317)
Source: RNAcentral